Oncorhynchus nerka (sockeye salmon) is the source of this 4572-nucleotide long non-coding RNA. RefSeq lists it as uncharacterized. The record is from RefSeq and is a predicted model, not a curated record. The transcript has 5 exons. Lineage: Eukaryota; Metazoa; Chordata; Actinopteri; Salmoniformes; Salmonidae.
GGACCACAUGACAUCAGCCGAGUCUGACUCUCAGCCGAGUGCCCCGACUCUCAGAAUGAAUCGGCCCAGAUCCACUGUGCUAGCUGGGUAGGGCUUGCCUCUGUUAUGACUUAUUCAUUCUGGAAGGGAGUGGCCUCACCUUUCCUUCAUUCUGUUUGGCUACUCUUAAUAAGAACCAACUCUACUGCUUGUCCAAGCUGUUUUGGUAACUGCAUACAGGCUACUUCCCUAAUAGCUCCAUUCUAUUUUGUGGAUAUCUUUCUGGAACCUACUUUCAUACAGGGGGCAAGGGCUUGUCUUGGAAGCACGCUUUCCACUGUGCUAAAUAUGAAUCAAAUUAGUUGAAAGCUAGAGCAAGGUGUUGGAAUAAUUAAAAAAGUAUUUCCACAUAGUAUAACCGUUACAGAGAUGAUGCUAGCUAGCAUUAAAACUGGCUAGCAUGUAUCUAGAGGUUCUUUGUUGUGUAACAGAGCAAUAGGUCUACUGCUAUAUAGGAACUUGUCAUUUGGUCGAAACUAACAUUAGUUUACAAAAGUAGUGUUUGCUCUGUGUAUUUGGUGUGUUGUUUGGUGUGCUAGUUGGCUUGCUAGCAAUGUUUUGAGGUAAACGGGCUAGGUCCCUGUGCAAUCAAGAGGGGAUGGGGGAGAAAAUUAGAUGUGCAGUUGCUUCAAUCAGGGUGUUGCAGUACCCAGAAGAGAUGACAUCAAACUGCUACAGUGAUUAAAAAGAUCUGCCAAGCACAACUCUGCCUCUGCCUCUGCCAGCCACACAACCACUGUCUCAGAGUAGUUGGGAUCUUGUUUGCAGACCUUUUCCUGGUUAACCUGAUCCUGUGGGUGGAGGGCUUCUUGGCAGCCAUCCCCUUCGGCAUGCUGGUGGCCAUCUUGGAUUUGUAGUAUGGCAUCUCCGUGCCCCUUGCCUACUUCAGCUUCAAGAAGCCUGUGAGCGUCACAUAUCAAUCAUACUGUCUGUAUGAAUAACUCGUUCAGGGGAUUGAGCAGCCAGUGCGAACUAAGAAGAUCAUUCGACAGAUCCAUGAACAUUCCUCCUUCACCAAGCCCAUGCCUGGAAUCGUCAUGGGGGGCAUCCACCCCUUCGGCUGCAUCUUCAUCCAGCUCUUCUGGGUUCCUGUUCCUGGUGUUCAUCAUUUUCCUCAUCACCUGGUCCAGGGCCACCAUCCUGCUACUUCCACUUGUGUGACGAGAACUCCCUGGUGGUUGCAUUCUUUCCUGACCAGUCUCUUCAUGGCAGUCUACCUGUUUGUCUACGACGUGCACUACUUCUUCACCAAGCUGCAGAUCAUUAGUGUGGCCAUUACCAUCCUCUACUUCACCGUGAUCAUGGUGCUCAAAUUAUUCCUCUUCACAAGGGAGUCGACGACAGAGCCACACUAUGGAAGGCUAGACUCUGUAAAAAGGUUUUUGUAGAGGAACUCAAACAAAUGGGAUAUCUCCUGAUUUUCACUUUAACAAACACAGUGCUGGAGCUUCCGACAGGAUCUGGCCGAUGAAUCGGCUGCUUCCCGCCACCUUUCGCAAUAGGAAUUCUAUCCGCCUUUAAUAAAUGGAAAUUGGUGGUGCUGUGAUAGCAAGCCGAGCCAGUUGAAAAUAUUGAUGCCAGGGAUAUUUUUGAUGUCUGUGUGCUCCUGAAGUACCUUGGCCCUGUGUUCUUUUUCAUUCGUUUUGUGUUUUUAUUCAUUUAUUUCUGCUACCCUCCUACCUGAGCGGCAUGAGGCCUGUGUGGCAUCUCAUUGUUAACAUUAUCCCAGUGUUGAGAUGAAACACCUGUGUGUUGCAAAGCCACAUGCUCUCUAAGUCCUCUCUGCUCUACCAUGAUGUUUUAAUGGGCUGAUGUGGCUAAAACUAACACCGAGAACCAUUGUAAAUGUAUUUUCUCAUCUUUUAUGACAUUAUGUUUACCACUUCAAUGCCCUUACAUCUGUAGUUUGAAGCAUACUUGUUUCACUUUAUUACAUAUUCAACAAGAAACAUAUGACACCACACUUUAGGAUGUCUGUGAUGAUUCUUGCCAUCCAGUUAUGUUUGUCAGCUAUCUCUCCUGGUCAAUUAAGUUGUAUACGUUUUGGUUUUCAGCACUCAAGUCCACUUUACAUUCUUACGUAAUACAAAUCCGUGAUUGACGAGUGCUAAUUUCACUCAACUUUAAAAAAAGAGGAGACAUUUACAGAUCAGUGUCUAGCUCAAAACUAAUGAGACUGUUUCAGCAUGUACAAAGUAACAAUACAGACAUCAUUUUAGCAAAAUUUUAAAUUGGCAACAUAAAAUAAUCCAAAGUGUCUCGUGACUGAAUAUAUAUUUAAGAAACAUUUACAAACAAUACUUUAUACUAUAGACCUGCUAAAUUACAAUAAAAGAAAGAUUUUUUUUUUUUUACAAGACGCAACAAUUGUUCAUGAAGCAAAUAUUGGAUGACUUGGUGAAGGGCUGGUGAAGAAGAUGUCAGUCCCCCCCCCCCCCUUCAUCCGUGGUGCUCGUUCAACAUAGCAUUAGGAGAGGCCUGUGAACAUCAACAGUCAUGAACAUGUCAUUCUGAAAAGCACUUUGCAACUUUUGAAAAGCAACUUUGACAGAUUGUUAUAAUGUGAAAUCUGAUGGGCGACAGCAUCAACCCAUGUUUAAAGAUUUUUUCAGUCAAGCAUGUUGCCAUGAUGUGUAGAAGAUGUUAUUGACAAAGGGGAAUAUUAAUCAUUAAUCAAGGGAAUAUUAAUCACGUGUCAGGUCCCAUUAGGCAAUAUAAUUAGAUGAAUCCAUGAUCUAAAAGUAAAAAUUGAUCCUAGAUCGGCACUUCUACCCUAAGACGCUUAGUGAAUAUGGGUCCAGAUAAGACAAGUUGACCCUAGCCCUCAGCACAUAGAGCUAUUGCAAAAAUAAUUACUGCGGACUGAGACCGGGGGGGUUGGGAGACACUGUGGCCCUGUCCAAUGUCACCCCGGGACAGGGCGAGCCAGGAAGAAGCUUACCCAACUACUCUGAGACAGUGGUUGUGUGGCUAGCAGAGCCAGAGACAGUGGUUGUGUGGCUGGCAGAGGCAGAGUUGUGCUUGGCAGAUCUAAAAGAGAGCCACAACAUUAUUUGAAUGAGAAUUCAGUCCACUUGAUAAUUCAACAGAAUUCAGUAUUCUUCAUGCUGAUGAUUUGUACAACUUGAGACAAGUGGCAAUAGAGUACAAAUAGAUUAAAACAUAAUACGGAAUGAAACACAAAUACAGAUGAUGUGUAUGUGGUGGUUUCAAAUAGUACAAUUACUACAGAUAGCAAGCUCUAGCCAUGCUUUUCCUGAACAUGUUAAUCUGAUAUUAUAGCUAGCUAGUUGAUGUUGUUCUAGCUAGCUCACCCAAAGCAGGCUUUUCUCCUCCUCGCUGGUCUGCAAACUACAUGAUCAUGAUGUUGUGGCUGUUACAUUUAACGGACACUAGAACAACAACAACAACAACUAGCCAGCUAUAUGAGAGACAUUUUCAGGAAAAUCGGAUCCUAAAGCAAGCCAAUAAAAUGUAUAUAAUUGCAUUGGUUUGACAUUGGCAUCUAGCUAGCUCAUCUCGCCUGGGCACUGCAGCAGCCAGAUGAAGCAACUGCAUCUAAUCUUCUUCCUCAUCCCUCUUGUCUUGAUUCUAGAGCUAACUAACAUUAGCCAACUUGAGCAGAGCUCUCAGCUUGCUAACUAGCAAAGCCAACCAACUUCAUGACUCUCCUGUGAGUAUACAAAGAUCAGGUUUACAAUGGAUCAAUUUCUACCAGACCCCUCUCACACGCAGAUGGGAGGAGGGAUUGAUGAGGGGGUUUUGUGACACCUCACUCCCAGCCGUAAAUUGUAUGUAGCAGAGGACUUUACCUUUUAGUGUUGGUGAUUGGAAUUCUCUUUGUUACAGAGACUUUUUGCCACCCAAAAACUCUAACGUCCAAAAGUGAAAAAUGGAACAAUAUUCCUUACAUCCGAAUGUGGGGAAUUAUGAGAGAUGGUCUAUGAAAAACAAAUUUCUAUUUUCUGAUGUCAUUAAAAAUGGUAUUUAAUGUUAUAACGAAAAUAUUGUAACUUGAUCAGUAUUCAUACUGUAUGUCAGGUUUUCAUCCUUUACGUUGUGAGGAAAUAUCAAUGAUGAUAGUAUUUUUGUUAAGAUAUGAAUGUGAUUUUAGUUUUCUAUGGUGAUACUUUUGAUGAUAUGAUGAUAGUUUUGAUGAUACUUUACCCCAGUAAGUAACCACGCCCGAGGGAGUUCAGAGAGCAUGUCAGCAUGAUGGAAACUCCCCCUUUUUUACUAGAGUGUAUCAAGGAUGAGUUGAAAAUUAACAUAUCAGACCAGAGGGACUCAAGAGGCAGCUUAGGUCUACAUUGGUUACAACCCUGAAAAUCAACAAGAGGUGAAGAUGACAAAGUAGCCUCUCUAACAAUCGAUGUUAUGGCUGAGUAGAUAGUCUGUUAAAGGACCUGUUUCCAACCUAUUAUGUUUCUAAUCAAUAACCUAUACCGUGUGUAUCCUGUGUUAUCAUUUAGUUAGUUAGUAAAUUUGUGUGGUACGGAAUGAUAAGUAAAGUUGGGGUUUGUGCAGAUGCAA